RNAcentral lists this ribosomal RNA (509 nucleotides) under Ptycta placophora. RNAcentral's name for it is "partial 16S ribosomal RNA". The stretch from base 377 to 509 matches the Rfam family "Bacterial large subunit ribosomal RNA", at positions 2473 to 2606 of the family's 2925-position model. Lineage: Eukaryota; Metazoa; Arthropoda; Insecta; Psocodea; Psocidae. The record is from RNAcentral.
AAAACAUGUCUUUUUGAUAAAAAUUUAAAGUCAGGUCUGCUCACUGAAUUAUUUUAAAGAGCCGCAGUAUAUUGACUGUGCAAAGGUAGCAUAAUCAAUAGUUUCUUAAUUGGGAACUAGAAUGAAAGAUUAGACGAAAAAUUAAUUUUCUUUGUUUUAAUAAAUUUAAUUUUAAAUUUAAGUGAAAAUGCUUAAAUACAAUUAAAAGACGAGAAGACCCUAUAGAUUUUUAUUAUUGAAAUAAAUUUUUAAAUUUAAUUUAAUAAGAUAAUUUAAUUGGGGCGAUUUUAUAAUAUAAAUAACUUAAUUUUUUUAAACCAUAAAUAAUUGAAUAUUUGAUCUAAAAUUUUUAAAGAAAAGAUUAAAUUACCUUAGGGAUAACAGCGUAAUUUUAUUUAAGAGUUCAUAUCUAUAAUAAAGUUUGCGACCUCGAUGUUGAAUUAAGAUAAUAUAUUGGAGUAGAAAUUAAUAUAAUUAGUCUGUUCGACUAUUAAAUUCUUACGUGAUCU